AUGAACGCUGGCGGCGUGCCUAAUACAUGCAAGUCGAGCGAACAGACGAGGAGCUUGCUCCUCUGACGUUAGCGGCGGACGGGUGAGUAACACGUGGAUAACCUACCUAUAAGACUGGGAUAACUUCGGGAAACCGGAGCUAAUACCGGAUAAUAUAUUGAACCGCAUGGUUCAAUAGUGAAAGACGGUUUUGCUGUCACUUAUAGAUGGAUCCGCGCCGCAUUAGCUAGUUGGUAAGGUAACGGCUUACCAAGGCAACGAUGCGUAGCCGACCUGAGAGGGUGAUCGCCCACCAGGGAACUGAGACACGGUCCAGACCCCUACGGGAGGCAGCAGUAGGGAAUCUUCCGAAAUGGGCGAAAGCCUGACGGAGCAACGCCGGGGGGGUGAUGAAGGUCUUCGGAUCGUAAAACUUUUUUAUUAGGGAAGAACAAAUGUGUAAGUAACUAUGCCCGUCUUGACGGUACCUAAUCAAAAAGCCCCGGCUAACUACGU
RNAcentral lists this ribosomal RNA (495 nucleotides) under uncultured bacterium. RNAcentral describes it as "partial 16S ribosomal RNA". It matches the Rfam family "Bacterial small subunit ribosomal RNA", at positions 29 to 506 of the family's 1533-position model. The record is from RNAcentral.